AUACGGAGGCGGCUAGCGUUGUUCGGAUUUACUGGGCGUAAAGCGCGCGUAGGCGGGCUGGUUAGUUGGGGGUGAAAUCCCAGGGCUUAACCCUGGAACUGCCCUCAAUACUGCCAGUCUUGAGUUCGAGAGAGGUAAGUGGAAUUCCUAGUGUAGAGGUGAAAUUCGUAGAUAUUAGGAAGAACACCAGUGGCGAAGGCGGCUUACUGGCUCGAUACUGACGCUGAGGCGCGAAAGCGUGGGGAGCAAACAGGAUUAGAUACCCCAGUAGUCC
RNAcentral lists this ribosomal RNA (274 nucleotides) under uncultured bacterium. RNAcentral describes it as "partial 16S ribosomal RNA". It matches the Rfam family "Bacterial small subunit ribosomal RNA", at positions 523 to 796 of the family's 1533-position model. The record is from RNAcentral.